GUGGGGAAUUUUGGACAAUGGGCGCAAGCCUGAUCCAGCAAUGCCGCGUGCAGGAUGAAGGCCUUCGGGUUGUAAACUGCUUUUGUACGGAACGAAAAGCCCUGGGUUAAUACCCUGGGGUCAUGACGGUACCGUAAGAAUAAGCACCGGCUAACUACGUGCCAGCAGCCGCGGUAAUACGUAGGGUGCAAGCGUUAAUCGGAAUUACUGGGCGUAAAGCGUGCGCAGGCGGUUUUGUAAGACAGAGGUGAAAUCCCCGGGCUCAACCUGGGAACUGCCUUUGUGACUGCAAGGCUAGAGUACGGCAGAGGGGGAUGGAAUUCCGCGUGUAGCAGUGAAAUGCGUAGAUAUGCGGAGGAACACCGAUGGCGAAGGCAGUCCCCUGGGCCUGUACUGACGCUCAUGCACGAAAGCGUGGGGAGCAAACAGGAUUAGAAACCCGUAUAGUCC
RNAcentral lists this ribosomal RNA (450 nucleotides) under uncultured bacterium. Its description in RNAcentral is "partial 16S ribosomal RNA". It matches the Rfam family "Bacterial small subunit ribosomal RNA", at positions 354 to 796 of the family's 1533-position model. The record is from RNAcentral.